RNAcentral lists this small nuclear RNA (104 nucleotides) under Mus spretus (western wild mouse). Lineage: Eukaryota; Metazoa; Chordata; Mammalia; Rodentia; Muridae. The record is from RNAcentral.
GUGCUCACUUCGGCAGUACAUAUAUUAAAAUUGGAACGAUACAGAGAUUAGCAUGGCCCCUGAACAAGGAUGACACGCAUAUUCGUGAAGUGUUCCAUAUUUUU